GGGAAGGUAGCUCAGUGGUAGAGCACUUGCCUUGCAUGCAUGAGGCCCUGUGGUAGAGCACUUGCCUU
This 68-nucleotide transfer RNA is filed under the name Dipodomys ordii (Ord's kangaroo rat). It matches the Rfam family "tRNA". From Rfam's summary of the family: Transfer RNA (tRNA) molecules are approximately 80 nucleotides in length. Their secondary structure includes four short double-helical elements and three loops (D, anti-codon, and T loops). The record is from Rfam by way of RNAcentral. Lineage: Eukaryota; Metazoa; Chordata; Mammalia; Rodentia; Heteromyidae.